This 46-nucleotide non-coding RNA is filed under the name Trichobilharzia regenti. Lineage: Eukaryota; Metazoa; Platyhelminthes; Trematoda; Strigeidida; Schistosomatidae. The record is from RNAcentral.
GUCUAGUUGACGAGUCCUAAAACAGGACGAAGUGCGCAUCCUAGAU